CGUAGGGUGCGAGCGUUAAUCGGAAUUACUGGGCGUAAAGCGUGCGCAGGCGGUUUAGUAAGACAGGCGUGAAAUCCCCGGGCUCAACCUGGGAACUGCGCUUGUGACUGCUAAGCUAGAGUACGGCAGAGGGGGGUGGAAUUCCACGUGUAGCAGUGAAAUGCGUAGAGAUGUGGAGGAACACCAAUGGCGAAGGCAGCCCCCUGGGUCGAUACUGACGCUCAUGCACGAAAGCGUGGGUAGCAAACAGGAUUAGAUACCCUGGUAGUCCACGCCCUAAACGAUGUCAACUAGGUGUUGGGAGGGUAAAACCUUUUAGUACCGGAGCAAACGCGUGAAGUUGACCGCCUGGGGAGUACGGCCGCAAGGUUG
RNAcentral lists this ribosomal RNA (372 nucleotides) under uncultured organism. Its description in RNAcentral is "bacterial SSU rRNA". It matches the Rfam family "Bacterial small subunit ribosomal RNA", at positions 526 to 896 of the family's 1533-position model. The record is from RNAcentral.